The sequence is a ribosomal RNA, 273 nucleotides long. The stretch from base 35 to 273 matches the Rfam family "Eukaryotic small subunit ribosomal RNA", at positions 677 to 919 of the family's 1831-position model.
CUGCGUUCAAGAGUGACGGUCCGCCGACGGCUGGUACUGUCAUCUCUGAACUUCACAAUUCAGUUAUCUCUUGAUGCUCUUAACCGGGUGUCUCGAGCGACUGAAACGUUUACUUUGAAAAAAUUAGAGUGCUUAAAGCAGGCUUUCAGCCUGAAUAGUGGUGCAUGGAAUAAUAGAAGAGGAUCUUGAUUCUAUUCUAUUGGUAAUGAAUUGAGAUAAUGAUGAAUGGGGAUAGACGUGGGUAUUUGUAUUGCGACGUUAGAGGUGAAAUUC